AGUGAACGCUGGCGGUAGGCCUAACACAUGCAAGUCGAACGGCAGCACAGGAGAGCUUGCUCUCUGGGUGGCGAGUGGCGGACGGGUGAGGAAUACAUCGGAAUCUGCCCAGUCGUGGGGGAUAACGUAGGGAAACUUACGCUAAUACCGCAUACGACCUUCGGGUGAAAGAGGGGGAUCGCAAGACCUCUCGCGAUUGGAUGAGCCGAUGUCGGAUUAGCUAGUUGGCGGGGUAAUGGCCCACCAAGGCGACGAUCCGUAGCUGGUCUGAGAGGAUGAGAGGCCACAAUGGGAGUGCGACACGUACCGGGUGCGGAAGGGAGGCAGAAGGGGGGAAUAUUGUAGAAUGGACGAAAGACUGCUCCAGGAAUGAGGCGGGAGGGAGGAAGGGGUUAGGGGUGUAAAGCCCGCUGACAAGGGAGGACAAGGACAGGAGGUGGAAAAGGAGAGACGGCGAACUACGUG
RNAcentral lists this ribosomal RNA (465 nucleotides) under uncultured bacterium. Its description in RNAcentral is "partial 16S ribosomal RNA". The stretch from base 20 to 367 matches the Rfam family "Bacterial small subunit ribosomal RNA", at positions 47 to 391 of the family's 1533-position model. The record is from RNAcentral.